GAUGAACGCUGGCGGCGUGCCUAAUACAUGCAAGUCGAACGGGGUGCAGCAAUGUACUUAGUGGCGACCGGGUGCGUAACACGUAGCUGACCUGCCCUUCGACGGGGGACAACAGGACGAAAGUUCUGCUAAUACCGCAUAGCUUUGGGGGAUUUAGAAAGCCCCAAAGAAACUUACGGGGUCGAAGGAGGGGGCUGCGGCCCAUCAGGUAGUUGGGGAGGUAACGGCUCCCCAAGCCAACGACGGGUCGGGGGCCUGAGAGGGUGGCCCCCCACACUGGGACUGACACACGGCCCAGACUCCUACGGGAGGCAGCAGUAAGGGAUAUUGCGCAAUGGGCGAAAGCCUGACGCAGCAACGCCGCGUGCAGGAUGAAGGCCUUCGGGUCGUAAACUGCUUUGGCGCGGGACGAGGACGGACGGUACCGCGCGAACAAGUCACGGCUAACUACGUGC
Molecule: ribosomal RNA, 455 nt
Filed under: uncultured bacterium
Lineage: Bacteria
Description: bacterial SSU rRNA
Rfam family: Bacterial small subunit ribosomal RNA
Source: RNAcentral